GACGAACGCUGGCGGCGUGCUUAACACAUGCAAGUCGAACGAUGUGGCGCACGUGUGAGUAACGCGUAAUCAACCUGCCCUUCAGAGGGGGACAACAGUUGGAAACGACCGCUAAUACCGCAUACUGAAGUAGGUUAUUGCGUUUGAUUAGUCAGUUGGCGGGGUAACGGCCCACCAAGGCGAUGAUCAGUAGCCGGUCUGAGAGGAUGAACGGCCACAUUGGGACUGAGACACGGCCCAGACUCCUACGGGAGGCAGCAGUAGGGAAUCUUCCGCAAUGGACGAAAGUCUGACGGAGCAACGCCGCGUGAGUGAUGACGGCCUUCGGGUUGUAAAGCUCUGUUAAUCGGGACGCGGUACCGAACUAGAAAGCCACGGCUAACUACGUGCCAGCAGCCGCGGUAAUUC
RNAcentral lists this ribosomal RNA (408 nucleotides) under uncultured bacterium. RNAcentral describes it as "partial 16S ribosomal RNA". It matches the Rfam family "Bacterial small subunit ribosomal RNA", at positions 28 to 526 of the family's 1533-position model. The record is from RNAcentral.